UACGGAGGGUGCAAGCGUUAUCCGGAUUCACUGGGUUUAAAGGGUGCGUAGGCGGCUAUAUAAGUCAGUGGUGAAAGCCCGCAGCUCAACUGCGGAACUGCCAUUGAAACUGCAUAGCUUGAAUCUGGUUGAAGUGGGCGGAAUACAUCAUGUAGCGGUGAAAUGCUUAGAUAUGAUGUAGAACACCGAUUGCGAAGGCAGAUCACUAAGCCAACAUUGACGCUGAGGCACGAAAGCGUGGGUAGCGAACAGG
Molecule: ribosomal RNA, 253 nt
Filed under: uncultured bacterium
Lineage: Bacteria
Description: partial 16S ribosomal RNA
Rfam family: Bacterial small subunit ribosomal RNA
Source: RNAcentral